CAGAGGGUGCGAACGUUGCUCGGAAUUACUGGGCGUAAAGCGCGUGUAGGCGGGUCGGCAAGUCAGGCGUGAAAUCCCCAGGCUCAACCUGGGAACUGCGCUUGAAACUGCCGGUCUUGAGUAUCGGAGAGGGUGGCGGAAUUCCUGGUGUAGAGGUGAAAUUCGUAGAUAUCAGGAGGAACACCGGUGGCGAAGGCGGCCACCUGGACGAUUACUGACGCUGAGACGCGAAAGCGGGGGGAGCAAACAGGAUUAGAUACCCUGGUAGUCCACGCCGUAAACGAUGGGUGCUAGGUGUCUCGGGUAUUGACCCCUGAGGUGCCGUAGCUAACGCGUUAAGCACCCCGCCUGGGAAGUACGGCCGCAAGGCUAA
This 373-nucleotide ribosomal RNA is filed under the name uncultured organism. RNAcentral's name for it is "bacterial SSU rRNA". It matches the Rfam family "Bacterial small subunit ribosomal RNA", at positions 526 to 897 of the family's 1533-position model. The record is from RNAcentral.